GCAAGUCGAACGAGAAACCUGGUGCUUGCACAGGGUGGACAGUGGCGAACGGGUGAGUAACACGUGGAUAAUCUGCCUCCAGGAUGGGGACAACUACCCGAAAGGGUAGCUAAUAACGAAUAAGAUGGUAGUUAUAUAAUUAACAGCCAUUAAAGGUGGGGACCUUCGGGCCUACUGCCUGGAGAUGAGUCCGCGGCUGAUUAGCUUGUUGGUGGGGUAACGGCCUACCAAGGCAACGAUCAGUAGCCGGCCUGAGAGGGUGAAC
Molecule: ribosomal RNA, 265 nt
Filed under: uncultured bacterium
Lineage: Bacteria
Description: partial 16S ribosomal RNA
Rfam family: Bacterial small subunit ribosomal RNA
Source: RNAcentral